UACGUAGGGGGCAAGCGUUGUCCGGAUUUAUUGGGCGUAAAGAGCGUGUAGGCGGCCUGGAAGGUCAGCUGUGAAAUCUCGGGGCUCAACCCCGAGCGGUCGUGAGAAACUGGCGGGCUAGAGUGCGGGAGAGGAGAGUGGAAUUCCUGGUGUAGCGGUGAAAUGCGCAGAUAUCAGGAAGAACACCCGUGGCGAAGGCGGCUCUCUGGAACGCGACUGACGCUGAGACGCGAAAGCGUGGGGAGCAAACAGG
This 253-nucleotide ribosomal RNA is filed under the name uncultured bacterium. RNAcentral's name for it is "partial 16S ribosomal RNA". It matches the Rfam family "Bacterial small subunit ribosomal RNA", at positions 524 to 776 of the family's 1533-position model. The record is from RNAcentral.